AACGCGAAGAACCUUACCAGGAUUUGACAUGGGGAGGACCGGUACAGAGAUGUACUUUUCCCGCAAGGGACCUUCCGCACAGGUGCUGCAUGGCUGUCGUCAGCUCGUGUCGUGAGAUGUUGGGUUAAGUCCCGCAACGAGCGCAACCCUUGCCUUUAGUUGCCAUCAUUUAGUUGGGCACUCUAGAGGGACUGCCGGUGACAAGCCGGAGGAAGGUGGGGAUGACGUCAAGUCCUCAUGGCCCUUAUGUCCUGGGCUACACACGUGCUACAAUGGUGGUGACAGUGGGAAGCUAGGUGGUGAUACUAUGCUGAUCUCUAAAAGCCAUCUCAGUUCAGAUUGUACUCUGCAACUCGAGUACAUGAAGGUGGAAUCGCUAGUAAUCGUGGAUCAGCAUGCCACGGUGAAUACGUUCCCGGGUCUUGUACACACCG
Molecule: ribosomal RNA, 434 nt
Filed under: uncultured bacterium
Lineage: Bacteria
Description: bacterial SSU rRNA
Rfam family: Bacterial small subunit ribosomal RNA
Source: RNAcentral